This is a long non-coding RNA of Hemicordylus capensis (graceful crag lizard), 669 nucleotides long. RefSeq lists it as uncharacterized. The transcript is spliced from 3 exons. NCBI's taxonomy places the organism in Eukaryota, Metazoa, Chordata, Lepidosauria, Squamata, Cordylidae. The record is from RefSeq and is a predicted model, not a curated record.
GAACCAGCAGCCAGGGGGCCAUGACCUGGAGGGAACCGGCAAGCUCCUGCCCGGCCGUGGGCCGCCAGUUGCUCCGCAGACUGCGGCUCUAAUCGGCACCAUUCAAAGGCUAGCAUUUGGGCUGGCGUGGCUGGUGGGACAUCAUCGGGAUGCGGUGUUUCCUGCUGACAGUAGGAAAACAACGCGAGGGAGACGAGGCGAGCAGUCUGUUCCCACAGGAAGCGGGCAUGGGCAUAUAUAGAAGAAAUGCUUUCUGGGUCGGCUUCCCACUCCCGUGAGGGAGAACCCCUUAUUCCUUCAUCUCUCAUCGUCCGAUUGCGACUAGUUAAGGCAGAGAGGCGUGAGGAAGCCCCCGCAGUUUUGGCAUCCUAAACUCCGUUGCAGGGCAAAGACGUCGGAUUGAUUUCUGUUAGGCUGCCUUUCGCCCCAAACCCUCAAUCCACCGAGGCGGUCUUUUGUUCUCCCUCACUGAAGAGCAUCCUAAGUACGCAGCAGCACUUGUGUUGGGGAUGGAGGGUGCAGGCUAACCACGGCACCUUCUGCCUGUCCCGAAGAGCCCGCUCCUAGGCAUGGUGUACUCAGAACGAGGGGACUUAGUUUCAGAUAAGUGACUUGAACAUACUGAAUUCUCCAAAGAGAGUCCUAGUCCCUCGAAAGGAGGAUGAGUGA